GAGUUUGAUCAUGGCUCAGAUUGAACGCUGGCGGCAUGCCUUACACAUGCAAGUCGAACGGGGUGCGGGGGCAACUUCGCAUUCAGUGGCGAACGGGUGAGUAAUGCAUCGGAACGUGUCCCGUAGUGGGGGAUAACCCGGCGAAAGCCGUGCUAAUACCGCAUACGCUCUACGGAGGAAAGCAGGGGACCCUGGAAGGGGCCUUGUGCUAGGGGGGCGGCCGAUGUCCGAUUAGCUUGUUGGUGGGGUAAUGGCCCACCAAGGCUGCGAUCGGUAGCUGGUCUGAGAGGAUGAUCAGCCACACUGGGACUGAGACACGGCCCAGACUCCUACGGGAGGCAGCAGUGGGGAAUUUUGGACAAUGGGGGCAACCCUGAUCCAGCCAUGCCGCGUGCGGGAAGGAGGCCUUCGGGUUGUAAACCGCUUUUAGCCGGGACGAAAGCUGUACGGAUAACACCCGUGCAGGUUGACGGUACCGGCGGAAUAAGCACCGGCUAACUACGUGCCAGCAGCCGCGGUAUC
RNAcentral lists this ribosomal RNA (522 nucleotides) under uncultured bacterium. Its description in RNAcentral is "bacterial SSU rRNA". It matches the Rfam family "Bacterial small subunit ribosomal RNA", at positions 9 to 524 of the family's 1533-position model. The record is from RNAcentral.